Molecule: ribosomal RNA, 298 nt
Filed under: Flavobacterium micromati
Lineage: Bacteria; Pseudomonadati; Bacteroidota; Flavobacteriia; Flavobacteriales; Flavobacteriaceae
Description: partial 16S ribosomal RNA
Rfam family: Bacterial small subunit ribosomal RNA
Source: RNAcentral
GAACGGCCAUUGAUACUGCUGGACUUGAAUUAUUGGGAAGCAACUAGAAUAUGUAGUGUAGCGGUGAAAUGCUUAGAGAUUACAUGGAAUACCAAUUGCGAAGGCAGGUUGCUACCAAUGGAUUGACGCUGAUGGACGAAAGCGUGGGUAGCGAACAGGAUUAGAUACCCUGGUAGUCCACGCCGUAAACGAUGGAUACUAGCUGUUGGGCGCAAGUUCAGUGGCUAACCGAAAGUGAUAAGUAUCCCACCUGGGGAGUACGAACGCAAGUUUGAAACUCAAAUAAAUUGACGGGAGG